UGGCGGAUCACUCGCGAUUAGGAGCUGG
This 28-nucleotide non-coding RNA is filed under the name Homo sapiens (human). The record is from RNAcentral. Lineage: Eukaryota; Metazoa; Chordata; Mammalia; Primates; Hominidae.